CACUCUAGAGAGACUGCCAGGGAUAACCUGGAGGAAGGUGGGGAUGACGUCAAAUCAUCAUGCCCCUUAUGCUUAGGGCUACACACGUGCUACAAUGGGUAGUACAGAGGGUUGCCAAGCCGUAAGGUGGAGCUAAUCCCUUAAAGCUACUCUCAGUUCGGAUUGUAGGCUGAAACUCGCCUACAUGAAGCUGGAGUUACUAGUAAUCGCAGAUCAGAAUGCUGCGGUGAAUGCGUUCCCGGGUCUUGUACACACCGCCCGGCACACCACGGGAGUUGGAGACGCCCGAAGCCGAUUAUCUAACCUUUUGGAAGAAGUCGUCGAAGGUGGAAUCAAUAACUGGGGUGAAGUCGUAACAAGGUAGCCGUAUCGGAAGGUGCGGCUGGAUCACCUCCU
This 396-nucleotide ribosomal RNA is filed under the name Clostridioides difficile. RNAcentral describes it as "bacterial SSU rRNA". It matches the Rfam family "Bacterial small subunit ribosomal RNA", at positions 1136 to 1531 of the family's 1533-position model. Lineage: Bacteria; Bacillati; Bacillota; Clostridia; Peptostreptococcales; Peptostreptococcaceae. The record is from RNAcentral.